GACGAACGCUGGCGGCGUGCUUAACACAUGCAAGUCGAACGGAAAGGCCCUGCUUUUGUGGGGUGCUCGAGUGGCGAACGGGUGAGUAACACGUGAGUAACCUGCCCUUGACUUUGGGAUAACUUCAGGAAACUGGGGCUAAUACCGGAUAGGAGCUCCUGCUGCAUGGUGGGGGUUGGAAAGUUUCGGCGGUUGGGGAUGUACUCGCGGCUUAUCAGCUUGUUGGUGGGGUAGUGGCUUACCAAGGCUUUGACGGGUAGCCGGCCUGAGAGGGUGACCGGCCACAUUGGGACUGAGAUACGGCCCAGACUCCUACGGGAGGCAGCAGUGGGGAAUAUUGCACAAGGGGCGGAAGCCUGAUGCAGCAACGCCGCGUGCGGGAUGACGGCCUUCGGGUUGUAAACCGCUUUCGCCUGUGACGAAGCGUGAGUGACGGUAAUGGGUAAAGAAGCACCAGCUAACUACGU
Molecule: ribosomal RNA, 467 nt
Filed under: uncultured bacterium
Lineage: Bacteria
Description: partial 16S ribosomal RNA
Rfam family: Bacterial small subunit ribosomal RNA
Source: RNAcentral